RNAcentral lists this ribosomal RNA (609 nucleotides) under uncultured Psychrobacter sp. Its description in RNAcentral is "bacterial SSU rRNA". It matches the Rfam family "Bacterial small subunit ribosomal RNA", at positions 316 to 916 of the family's 1533-position model. The record is from RNAcentral. Lineage: Bacteria; Pseudomonadati; Pseudomonadota; Gammaproteobacteria; Moraxellales; Moraxellaceae.
GAAUUGGGCCUGCGGUCGAGAUUCCUACGGGAGGCAGCAGUGGGGAAUAUUGGACAAUGGGGGAAACCCUGAUCCAGCCAUGCCGCGUGUGUGAAGAAGGCCUUUUGGUUGUAAAGCACUUUAAGCAGUGAAGAAGACUCCGUGGUUAAUACCCACGGACGAUGACAUUAGCUGCAGAAUAAGCACCGGCUAACUCUGUGCCAGCAGCCGCGGUAAUACAGAGGGUGCAAGCGUUAAUCGGAAUUACUGGGCGUAAAGCGAGCGUAGGUGGCUUGAUAAGUCAGAUGUGAAAUCCCCGGGCUUAACCUGGGAACUGCAUCUGAAACUGUUAGGCUAGAGUAGGUGAGAGGGAAGUAGAAUUUCAGGUGUAGCGGUGAAAUGCGUAGAGAUCUGAAGGAAUACCGAUGGCGAAGGCAGCUUCCUGGCAUCAUACUGACACUGAGGCUCGAAAGCGUGGGUAGCAAACAGGAUUAGAUACCCUGGUAGUCCACGCCGUAAACGAUGUCUACUAGUCGUUGGGUCCCUUGAGGACUUAGUGACGCAGCUAACGCAAUAAGUAGACCGCCUGGGGAGUACGGCCGCAAGGUUAAAACUCAAAUGAAUUGACGG